AAAUAUAUUGUCUGGAGAAGCUUAUUUCUAGUUUGCAAUAAGCAAAUUUGAGUUUUCAAAAGGUACCUCACAACAUCCUGUAAGAGUCAAAAUGCUAUUUCUGUUUGAAAUGGUCAUUUGCUACUUGCAGCACUCUUGCUUAAGAUGCUUACAUUUAUUUUCCUUUUUUAUAGCUGCAUAAUUUUGCUAUCAUUUCUUUUACUUGCUACUUUUUUCUUGUUCAUGGCAACUAAUUUGAUUAGAUUUUAAUGAUGCAUAGAUUUUAGCACUGUGAUUUGAUGUGUUAACAAGCUGGAGUCUAUUUCAGCUUAAAAGAAAAGACUAUGAAAAGCCUAUUCUAUUCAGGCUGACUUUGAUGUCUAAAGUUACUUGAUAGCAUCUUCUAAUAUUCACAAAUGAGCAACAGGGCAGAUGAGAUUACAAUUGGAAACUCGUUAAAGUAAAUUGAUGCCUCUUUUGGUCCUGGUCUUUGCUGUUAGCUGUCUUCAGCUUCAGAAGCAAGAGCAGUGCCUAGGGGAAAAGUGCAAGGCUUUUAAUAUUUUUUUUUUAACUUUUAUUUUUUUUAGCUGGGACAAACAAUCUAAUUAUUCUAGAAUGGAUGAAAAAAAUGAUCACCCAGCAGCUAAACCUGAAGAUGAACUAAGUGUAGCCAACAUUUCAGUCCAAAUGGUAUCUGCAGAAGAUAAGUUGGCAAAGAGGAUUCUGGCAAGGAAAAAACAUGGCAAAUUGAAGAAAAAAGAGAAGUUGCUGUGGAAUUUUCAAAACAAAAUAAUUAUUUUUACCCUCAUUCUAUUUGUUUUAGGAGUUGUAACGUGGACUUUACUUUGGCUCUUCAUUGGUGAGUUGCUGAAAGCUCACACUGAUUUCAAAUAUCACUAUUCCUAGUAGCACUUGUAUUUUAUAUACCAGUUGCUUGUAGGAUCUUACUUGUUCUGAAGGCUCUUUCUAAGAUAAGCAUAAAACCUGGAAUACCUUUGUUACACUUAACAGGGUUCAAUGAACAAGGAAUUAUAGCAGUAGGCAAAACUGCUAUUUUAGGAAGCAUGAUUUCUAGCCCCCACACACUCCUCCCACCCCAAGACUUAAGCAAAACUUUUGUGUAUGUGCACUAGUUAAUUGUGUAGACAACUCCCCUAACUUGAUUCCACAAAGAUUCUGACCUCCACUGCAUUUCUUGGCCCGCUAGAGGCUGGGUAAGAUAUCUGUGCCUUAGGCAGAAUAAAUUUUAAAAGGUUAAAAAGGCAGUAAAAUAUGGAAGGCGAAUACUUUAUCUGUAAUUGUUGUGUUUUCUUUUUCUUUUUUUUGUUUUGUUUUCUUUUGUUUUAAAGAAGUGCUGCCUAAGAUUCCUUAGGGAUAUUCUUGAACUUGGAUGCUGACAUGACUUCUGUUACAGUUGGUUUGUACUGUGGUAUCUUAGGUUGUGUGUAGGAAGCAGGUGCUUGAUGUACCUUCAUAUUGUGGUACUCAUCUAGAAAAAAAUGUCUUUGAAUAUAUAAGGUUGAUUUGGUAGUCUUCUCCACUUUAAGGUUGAAUAGAUUAACUUGGUUUAAAAUUUUGAUCAGAAAAAAAUGUUUUCUUGUUACUUGAAAAUAAUUGGGGUCUGUCUUUGUUUCUUGCAGUUCAGGCAGAAAACAAAGAUGUGUUGUACUUUGUUGGGCUGUUUCGUGUUGCCAACAUAGAAUUUCUCCCAGAAUAUAGGCAGAAGGAAUCAAAAGAAUUUCUCUCUGUGGCGCAGAACGUGCAGCAUGUGGUAAGAUGAGUGGGCUGCUUGGUUAACAAAAAGUGGCAAAAAGACCAGAGCUGUGAUCAAUAAUUGCAAAUCUCAGGUGCCAUUGAGUCUGCUGUGGCAUUCUGCAGUUUUUAUCUUCUUCCUUAUUCCCUUUCAGAAGACUGCGCAGAUAUGGCUAGCUGAAGGCAGGAAGGAACUGGGUGCUUUUAGCUUGUUAACCACAAACUAAAUUUUGGAAAGGUCUGUUUGACAUACACAUUGACUAAAAUUUUACACAUUAUUCCCCACAAACCAGUCUAUGAAUAGAGCUCUACAAAAAACCUUCAAAAUUGCCACUUUUGAGACAUUGAUGAAAUAUUUUGCAUUCAAAGUGGUAUCUGCUGCCAGUCUUCUGCCUCAGAGCAUCUAUAAUUACAUUACAGCUCUCACAUGCUUUUACACUUAGUUUCCUUCUGAUGCCAGUUAUUCCAAAGACCAUUAUUCCUCCCAAACACCUUGUAACAGUCACAGCAGAAACAGCACUCAGUCGUAGGCCGUUAUGGCUGCUCUACAGCAGGCAGAGGUGGCUGUCUCAAUGCAACCAGAGAUUCUUGAACAAUUACCAAGUUUUGGUCAUCUUAUAGCAUGAACUCAUGCUCCUGUUUGCAAGCUCUUUGAUCAGAGGGAAGAUUUCUUGAUGACCCAAAGUGCUUUCAGGCCAGGGGUGGGAGCAGUGCAGGUAUUGUCCCUCCCAAUUUACCAGGGAGUAGCUUCAACCUGCUGUGGGCCAUUUGUCUUGUUCUUGUCCUAGAGCAUCCUGCUAUCUUCUCACACAGCAGAGAGAGGUGACACAGAAGAACAUGUGAACUGCCAGUGCCACCAUCUUCUACUUGGACAUAACUUGGAAAUGACUCUUUUUCUCUAAACUCAACCAAUACUCACCAAUAGAUUUUGCACUGCUAAUAAUGUGCAUCUCAGUUACAUGACUAUUGGCUAAAAAGGCUAGCAGGAAUGUUGGGAAUCUGAGUUUGUAAGGUUUUUGUCUUUUUUUUUGUUGUUGUUGUUCUAAUUGAAACCUUUUUGUUUAUGACUUCUGUGUCUGAGGUCUAUAGAACAAUAGCUGAAGAACCUCUCAAGUUAGACUCAUUCCCCCUUUGACAGUAAAAGCAAUAUAUAUAUAGAUAGAAUCCCUCAUAGCUUAAUCUGGAGACAGAUUGAGCUCUGCUCAUUUUACUUAGGCCCUUAAACUGAUUGUUCCAACUUUGUAUCAAAUGAUGAAGAUUAUGGACUAACAUCCAUAUGACUUUGACAGCCUUGGCUUCAAAAGAAUCCUAGUUACAGUCCCGUGGGCAUCAAUUAAGCAGCAGGAACAGAGGCUGAACAGCUUGAGGUACGUGCCACCUGGUGGUGCUAGUGGUGUGCCUCCUUCAACAAGGAUAAGCACGCGACGGUAACCUGCCUUAUCUAAAGAACUGGUGAAAGCGGGAGUAUGCUUUCCCAAAGGCUGUCCUGCAUCAAGAAAGGGGCAGAGCUUUCCCCUCUUCACAUAUUUUACACUGUAUUGGAAAGAAAUAUAUUAAUGCUAAGCUGCUAGUUGGGGAAAAAAAUAGACACAAAUGGAAUGAAAAGGCAGGAAGCUGCCCAUAAACAAUGGAGGGGGGGAAAAAAAAUAAAAUACCUAAAACAUAAAUAAUCCCCCGCAAAAACACAGCUCCCCUAAAAACAAGCCAAACAAAAAAAACCGACCCACACCCCUUAAAGCAAUCCUGAACUGUCUCCUUCAAAAAAAAGAAGAGUGUAAAAAAAAAACACCCUCCAAAACCAAAGAUACCCUCAAAAAAAAUAAAAAGCACACAAAAGCAAAAAGCAAACAAACAAAAAUCCUCAGCCCAAGACCAAAACAGAAGCAAGAAAUAAACAACCCCCAAAACAAAAGCAUGGGGAGAAAAAGGAAGAAAACAAAGUGAACCUCCCCAAAAGCAAAAACAAACAAACAACAAAAAAAACAAACCACCCCAAAACAAAGUAAAGCCUCCCAAGAAAACAAAACAAAAUGGAAUAAUAAAUAAAAAAGAAAAGAAAUGAGAAACAAAGUGAAGAAAAGAUAACACAAAAAAACACCUCAUAAAGAACAAUAGUAAAAUAACCAGAAAACAAGAAAGCAAAAUGACAAAAAAGACAAAAAGAACAAAAAAUUCCCCCCAAAAGAAGAAGCAAUAAAAGCAAAUGCCUUAAAAACAACAACAACAACAAAAAAAAAAAAAAAACACAACAUAAAACCAACAAAUAAAAAUCCAACUACAAAAAAAGUAAAGAAAUAAUAACAAAAGAAAAAGUAAAAACAAAAUAAAAACAGAAAAAGGGGGAGAAGAACCGAGGAAAAAAUAUCCAAAGAACACAGAAAAAAGUCAAAACACCUCUCAAAACAAAAUGAAAACAAAUCCCAAACUAUAGUGACAAAAAAAAAUUGUAAAUUGUAAACAAUUGUUUUGUAGACAAAAAAAAAAAUUGUAAAACAAUACAAAAUGACAAUACAUAAAAUGAAAAAAAAAAAAAGGACAAAAAGCAAGCAAAAUCCCCUGUUCUCCAAAAACAAGAGAAGGCAACAACCAGAGCAAGUAAAAAGAAAAUAUUUAAUCUUAAAAUCUUUUAAAACUCCCUCAAAAACAGGACAACCCCCUAAAAAUCUCCACCCUAUAAAAAGAAAAUAACUAAAUCAAAGAAAGCAAAAAAGCAACAACAAAAAAAUCCUAACGAUAUUCCAACUUAAAAUAAAAAUACAGAAAAUGAAAAAAAGACAAAAUACAAAACCCCGUAAAAACAGAACAAGAAAAAAUGAUCAAUUCCCUAAGCUAACACAGAAUAAUAAAAAUACAUUAAUAAAACUACAAAAAAAAAAUAAAACAGAAAAAAAAGACAAAAGAACCCCUCAUAGCAUCCCCAAGAAAUAAGAAUCCUAAAACAAAAAAAAAAGAAUCCCUCCUAAAGAGAAAAAAAAAAAAAACACCAACAAAACAAACAGAAAAAUACUGUCAAUUAAUGAAAGAAUCAAAGAAUUCAAAGAAAUCAAAGAAACAGAGAAAAGAAAAACACAUAAAAGCAGUAACAGGGAGGAAAAAAAAAAAAAGAGGAUAAAAAACAACACACCAAUAAAUAAAAAAGCAUCGCCCCAAAGUAACACCCUCAAAAAGUUAAAAAACAACAAAACCAUGCACACACAAAAACUACGAAAAUACACAUAAAACAGAAAUAAAAACAAAACAAGAACAAAAUUAGCAACAGAAGUAAAAAAAAUAAAAUAAAAGGCACAGCAAGCCCAACCCAAUGUGACCACCUGGAUUUGGCCCCCUCUGGGGGCUGUAGCUGUCCCUUGUCACUCUGAGAGGAGGGGUCAGUGUUUUGCAUUUCCAGAGGCCCCUUCCAGACCCAGCCAUACCAUGGCUUUGCUGAAGAGCUUGGUCGCACCCUUACCUGAACCUU
Cairina moschata (Muscovy duck) is the source of this 5188-nucleotide long non-coding RNA. NCBI's taxonomy places the organism in Eukaryota, Metazoa, Chordata, Aves, Anseriformes, Anatidae. The record is from Ensembl.